RNAcentral lists this long non-coding RNA (881 nucleotides) under Homo sapiens (human). RNAcentral describes it as "non-protein coding lnc-ELOVL7-1:2". Lineage: Eukaryota; Metazoa; Chordata; Mammalia; Primates; Hominidae. The record is from RNAcentral.
GUCAUGGCGACGUCCAGUGCUCCAGCCGGUGUGAGGACACGAUAUGCUGGGGUUUUUGUCCGCACGCCAAACGGGUUUGGAGGACCCUCUUCGCCUUCGGAGAGCAGAGUCAACACGGAGAGUUUUGGGACUGGAAUUAAAUAAAGACAGAGAUGUUGAAAGAAUCCACGGCGGUGGAAUUAACACCCUUGACAUUGAACCUGUUGAAGGGAGAUACAUGUUAUCAGGUGGUUCAGAUGGUGUGAUUGUACUUUAUGACCUUGAGAACUCCAGCAGACAAUCUUAUUACACAUGUAAAGCAGUGUGUUCCAUUGGCAGAGAUCAUCCUGAUGUUCACAGAUACAGUGUGGAGACUGUACAGUGGUAUCCUCAUGACACUGGCAUGUUCACAUCAAGCUCAUUUGAUAAAACUCUGAAAGUAUGGGAUACAAAUACAUUACAAACUGCAGAUGUAUUUAAUUUUGAGGAAACAGUUUAUAGUCAUCAUAUGUCUCCAGUCUCCACCAAGCACUGUUUGGUAGCAGUUGGUACUAGAGGACCCAAAGUACAACUUUGUGACUUGAAGUCUGGAUCCUGUUCUCACAUUCUACAGGGUAUUUUUAUUUUAUUUCAAACGGCAACUACUUUGAGUAAACGAUUCAAUAAAAAGAAACGUUACUAACAGUGUAUUCUUUGUAAGUGACAUGACUAAUGUACUUUGUGCUGGUUGUUGAGACUCAGCAGGGAAAUAAAGAUCCUUCUGUGCAUUAUUCUUAUAAAACUGAACCAUUGAAAACACAUUUAUAUGAACAAUGAUCAUUGGGGAAGCUCAAACAAUAUGAAAAAUAGUUCUAACUCAAAACCUUGUGUUAUUUCUACAUUAAAAAGACUAAUGCAACUCA